RNAcentral lists this non-coding RNA (4309 nucleotides) under Pan troglodytes (chimpanzee). Lineage: Eukaryota; Metazoa; Chordata; Mammalia; Primates; Hominidae. The record is from RNAcentral.
AGACUCACUUGUGCAUGUGUGAAAUGACAGCACUUCAGAGCGGCUCAGCUUAUAACAGCAAAAGCUUGGAAAUGGCCUGAAUGCCUAUCAAGAGGGCACUGGUUAAAGAAACGAUUGUCCCUCCAAACAACAGAAUUCUGUGCAGCAGACGGCGCCUGAGCGAUCUUUGAGAACUACUGCAGAUGCCUGGCCCAGCUCUGGCCCCGGUGCGGCCUGCAUGCCAAGCGCUUCAUUAGCUGGGAAAGAAGACUCUUGCCCUCCUUCGUCUAAUCCUCGCCAGUGACCUUCAGGAACCAGGCACCUUCUGACGUUGGGAGCCUGGGACGGUGCAAUCAUCAAUUACACCGUGGCCUCUGCAGCUGUUCCUGAAUGGAUUUCUUGCUCAGAGAAGCGUGUUUGAAAAGCAUCUAAUGGAACGGAUCAUCAAUUUGUUUGAAUACACAUCUAAUCUGAUUAGGGGGGCACUGGCCACCAGGGCAGCUAGUACAACUGAGCCUUGACAUGGCCCCAGGGAAUCGUAAGUGGGGUGGCGGGGCCAGUCUGGGGAAGGAGGGCUGUGUGCCCUGGGCCUGCCACCGAGCCCUCCUUGAGCUCAGCCCAUGGUACGUCCAGCCAAAAAAGUCACAGAGAAAAGCAGAACACAUCACACAGAUGCCAGGAGAGCUGGGCCCAAGACUCCUGUUUUUCUAUAGCCCUGGCACUGGGCACAGAGCCUGAGACAAAGAAGAUGCUUGGGAAAUAUGUGGCAAAUGAAUGACAGUAAGGCCCAACAUGGAAGCCAAGGGAUGUUGAAUAAAGUCAUCUGCGGGACAAGACUAGGUGAUGCCUGUAUUGGGUUGAAUAUGUCUCCCUCAAAUUCAUGUCUUCCCAAAACCUCAGAAUGUGACCUGAUUUGGAAAUCGAGUCUUUGGAGAUGUAGUUUGUUAAGAUGAGGUCACGCUGGAGUAGGAUGGGCCUUCCGUGACUGGUGUCUUGGUAGGAGGAGAAGAAACACAGGGAAAGAGACACACAAGGAGAAGACAAGAGCCAAGUAAAGACAGAGACAGGGACUGAAGCGAUGCAUCUACCAGCCAGGGAACGCCAAGGACUGCUGGGAGCCACCAGGCAGGCCUAGGACGGGGGCAGGACGGAGCCUCCCGUUGAGCCUGCAGAAGGAGCAUGCCCCUGUCACCCUGAUUUCAGACUUCUGGCCUCCAGAACUGUGAGAGAACAGAUUUCUGCUGUUUAAAGCCACCCAGCUUAUAGUACUUUGUCAUGGCAGCCCAGGAAACUCAUGCAAUGCCUACAGGAAGCUUUGUCCGUCAUUCCACAGAAGGCAGCAUGGCAGAGAACCAGAAGGAAGUCCGAGCCCUGCCUCGCUGGAUGUAGCUGGUCGUUCCCAGACACAUCACGUGCGCCAUGCCACUCUCUUCCCUGGGGAGCCCUUUCUUUCCUUCUUUACCAGGAAAAUAUUGGUUUUCAAUCCAUGUUAGUUCCUGUCCAGCACUCCUUCAAAGCUCAAAUGCCAUGUCCUCUGUAACUCUUCUUCAGAUGUCCUCCUCAGACUCCUGAGAUCGCCUCCCUCCCAACAUGCUUGGUGAUUCCCAUGCUACAUCCCCUACUGCUGGGCACACUGGGGCUCCCUCAUCUCCCUAGCCCCAGAGCCUGGCAACAGCCUGGCCUGCAGAAGAGCCCAGAUCCAUGAGAAAGUGGGCAAGCAAACUUGCUGUGGACCAGCGGGUGCCUCCCUUCUUGGGAGUGGACCAGAAUGGAGAUCACAAAGUUCCCUUCCAGCCCUGACAUUAUAAGAGCUGAGUAGCCCUCUGGGGGAUGACCUUACUGGGCCCUGUAAUGGGACCACCUGGGUUCAAACCCAGUGGACUCUGCCACUCACAAGCUGUGUUUCCCUGGGCAUCAUUCUGUAACUCUGCUGCACCUCUCCUGAAAAAUAGGGAUAGCAGUGCCUCCCUCAUUGGCCUAUGGAAAGGGGUCUGCAGGAGCCCAGAGCGAGGACUCAUAGGACCAGGGAUGCGUCCAAGAACCCACAGGCCUGGGGGUCUCCAGUGUCUACCUCCUUGGUCAACGAUGGUGCCACCAGAUGCAGGGCACGGAAGGCUGUGCCGUGAGGAAGGACCAGCACCCCAGAGCUCUGGCUGGCAUGCUUCCCAGGGGCAGCCCCUGUUCCUCCUCUUGCCCACCCUUGGAGACGGGCCAUCACCUAAGAGGAGGGAGAGAUGGAAGUCGGGGGAAGAUGGGAGCUAGGGGCAGUGGCUCUGACUUAACACCAGCAUUGGUUUCCCAAUAUUGAAUAAAGAGGGCUGAGCUGGACAGCAGGUGUCCUUAGGGGCUUGACCUCACCACCCCCAGACGGGGCCUGUCUGCCCAAUUUCAGGGGCUUCUCCUCAAUUUCCUGGCUUCAGGGCAAGGCUGCUCAGCCCAGGGACAAGAAGGAAAGAUGGGUAUUUGUUAAAGGCCUACUCCACACUGAGCAGCGCGUGUUUAACCAUUUAAUCCUCCCAGCCUCCUUAGGGGAGUGCUAUGAGGACUUCUCUUUUAUUUCUCUCAUCUGAAGCUCAGAUGAGAGAGGUACCCAGUCACAUGUGUGUCAGUGGCAGAGCUGGAUUUUGAACCCAUAGCCGCCUGCCUCCAUGCAAGGCCUCUGACCUCCCCUCUGUCCAGGCUGCGUUUGGAGCCCAGGAACAGAUUCCAAGGCUGGGCCCCGCAGGGAGGAAAAAACAAAGCACGAGUCGCUCUCUGCACGGAGGCUGAGAGAUGGAGCCACCGCUGAAGAAGAACACACAUUCAUCAGGCUGGUGACCCCGGUGUACCAGCGCUUUGUGGCGUGUAACAAAGACUGCCGAGCGGAAAAUUGGAGUUCAAUUUGCCGUCCAUCCUGCACGCAGUGCUCAGCCCAUUCUAGUCCCUGGCAGGCACCUCUGUGCUUUAUCAUAAAUAAUAACACCACGCGGCUCUAUGGCCCUUUCCGCAGUUACAGUCCCUGAGCAAUUUACAAGCCAGAUUAUACACAGAAGCCUGCACAUGCCUGCCGGCCAGCACACACCGCACACACGCGGCCUCCUCCCCAGUCACUCCUAGGGCCCACGGCCAUCCUGGUGUCACCCAUCUGGGGCUGCACCCAAUCUGGAGGGAAGCAGGCCCUUGUGCACCCCUGGACACUGGGCUCUGCUCCUGCCCCGGUCACCUUCUUUAUCCCUUUUACUGGCUCUCAUGGUUGGCAGAGAAACCACGAGGUCUGGUGGCCCACUGCCCCUUGCUGGACCAAGGUCAAGGCCACUUCCCCUCUCUUUCUUUCCAUUUUAGAAGGAGCUUCUGGACCUCCUCCCCUCCGAUCAGCAGUGGCCCUUUGUCUCUACCACAGGGAGUGCCGUCUCUCCUCAGAACUUAUUCGGAGUAGUGGGGGGUGCAAAAGCAGCAACAGGGACCCACAAGUUCAACCGCUCGCUUCACAGACGGGACCCCCGGGGCCCAGAGAGGUGCAGCAGCUUCCCUGGGGACUCUGCAUCAGCUGCUGAGCUGAGAUCAAAGCCCAGGACCACCGGCACCCAGUCCACUACACAGCGGAGCCCCAUGGAGGGAGGCAAACAAAGGUCUAGGGCAGACUGGGCUGCUCCCUCUGAGCAUCUAGAAACUUCCCCAGAAGCAGAAGCUUCAGGCAGGGCCUGGAGGGGCUCCAGCCGCAGCUCCUUCCCCCUCUUGCCAUCAAACUAAAUAAGAGGUCAACUAUUGUAUGAUGCCAUUUAUAUGAGAUAUCCAGAGUAGGUAGAUCCAUAGAGAUAGGGCUGAGAUUGGUGAUUGGCAGGUGGUUGGGAGAGAGGGGAAUGGGGAGUGACUGUGAGUGGGUACAGGCUUCCUUCUGGGGUGACGAAAGUAUUCUGGAACUCAGUGGUGGUUGUACAUCAUUGUGAAUGUACUAAGUGCCACUGAAUUGCUCACUUGAAAAUGAUUUUUUUUUUUUUUUUUGAGACAGGGUCUCGCUCUGCUGCCCAGGCGGGAGUGUGGUGGUGCAAUCAUAGCUCACUGUAGCCUUGAACUCCCAGGCUCAAGUGAUCCUCCACUUUAGCCUCUCGAGUACCUGGGACCACAGGCGCGUGCCACCAUGCUUGGCUAUUAUUUUGUAUUUUUAGUAGAGAUGAGGUUUUGACAUGUUGCCCAGGCUGAUCUCGAACUCUUGGACUCAAGCAAUGUACCCACCUCGGCCUCCCAAAGUGCUAGGAUUAAGGCAUGAGUCAGUCUUAAAAUGGCUAAUUUUAUGUCAUGCAAAUCUUACCCCCAUCAAAAAAAUAAAAAAAAAUAAAAAACAUACAAUGGG